This 406-nucleotide ribosomal RNA is filed under the name uncultured bacterium. RNAcentral's name for it is "partial 16S ribosomal RNA". It matches the Rfam family "Bacterial small subunit ribosomal RNA", at positions 30 to 526 of the family's 1533-position model. The record is from RNAcentral.
AUUGAACGCUGGCGGCAGGCCUAACACAUGCAAGUCGAACGAGUGGCGGACGGGUGAGUAAUGUCUGGGAAACUGCCUGAUGGAGGGGGAUAAUUACUGGAAACGGUAGCUAAUACCGCAUACCAUCGGAUGUGCCCAGAUGGGAUUAGCUAGUGGGUGGGGUAAAGGCUCACCUAGGCGACGAUCCCUAGCUGGUCUGAGAGGGUGACCAGCCAAACUGGAACUGAGACACGGUCCAGACUCCUACGGGAGGCAGCAGUAGGGAAUAUUGCGCAAUGGGCGCAAGCCUGAUGGAGAAAUGCCGCGUGUGUGAAGAAGGCCUGCGGGUUGUAAAAUACUGUCAGCGGGGAGGCGUUACCCGCAGAGGAAGCAACGGCUAACUCCGUGCCAGCAGCCGCGGUAAUUC